Molecule: ribosomal RNA, 418 nt
Filed under: uncultured bacterium
Lineage: Bacteria
Description: bacterial SSU rRNA
Rfam family: Bacterial small subunit ribosomal RNA
Source: RNAcentral
AUAUUGGACAAUGGGCGAGAGCCUGAUCCAGCCAUGCCGCGUGCAGGAAGACGGCCCUAUGGGUUGUAAACUGCUUUUAUACAGGAAGAAACACUCCCUCGUGAGGGAGCUUGACGGUACUGUAGGAAUAAGGAUCGGCUAACUCCGUGCCAGCAGCCGCGGUAAUACGGAGGAUCCAAGCGUUAUCCGGAAUCAUUGGGUUUAAAGGGUCCGUAGGCGGGAUAAUAAGUCAGCGGUGAAAGUCUGUGGCUCAACCAUAGAAUUGCCAUUGAUACUGUUGUUCUUGAGUGUUUAUGAAGUGGUUAGAAUAUGUAGUGUAGCGGUGAAAUGCUUAGAUAUUACAUGGAAUACCGAUUGCGAAGGCAGAUCACUAAUAAAAUACUGACGCUGAUGGACGAAAGCGUAGGUAGCGAACAGG